Molecule: long non-coding RNA, 508 nt
Organism: Glycine soja
Lineage: Eukaryota; Viridiplantae; Streptophyta; Magnoliopsida; Fabales; Fabaceae
Exons: 2
Source: RefSeq, a predicted model, not a curated record
UAGAAGCAAGUUUCAAGGUACAAUUAAAGCAUACAGAACUAUCAUCUUGGUAAUUACGAUGGUUUCAUGUUUUGAUUUUUUUCUUUCACUGAACUUUGGCAAAAUGGCAAAGCGUUUCGUUUGGAGGACUGAUAAGCCUCAAGCUGAUCUGCCUCAGACACCAAACUCUCAAGUAAGAAUUGUAUCACGAGACCUUCCACGGGGGGGCAAUUAUUAGUUGUAACAUGCAGAUGCAGAUGCAGCACAUCAGUUACUGUAUAUCUCUUCAGAUCGAUGUGAUAAUAUAUAGGUUACUUAAGGUUUAGUUUCUCUGUCCCAGCCGGUUAAGUUUUAGAGAAUCUAUAGAAGAUAGAAGAUUUAGCUCCUUAAUUAUUGAUUAAGUGAAGUUAUAUCCUGAUGUUUUCUCUUUCACUUAGGGUGUAUCAAAGUUGUAAUUAAACUGUUGUAACAGUAUGUUAAUGGUCAGUUAGCUAUUAUGAAUACAAGUAAAAGUACGUAGUUUUAAUUA